This 402-nucleotide ribosomal RNA is filed under the name uncultured Bilophila sp. RNAcentral's name for it is "bacterial SSU rRNA". It matches the Rfam family "Bacterial small subunit ribosomal RNA", at positions 338 to 732 of the family's 1533-position model. Lineage: Bacteria; Pseudomonadati; Thermodesulfobacteriota; Desulfovibrionia; Desulfovibrionales; Desulfovibrionaceae. The record is from RNAcentral.
CCUACGGGAGGCAGCAGUGGGGAAUAUUGCACAAUGGGCGCAAGCCUGAUGCAGCCAUGCCGCGUGUGUGAAGAAGGUCUUCGGAUUGUAAAGCACUUUAAGUUGGGAGGAAGGGCAUUAACCUAAUACGUUAGUGUUUUGACGUUACCGACAGAAUAAGCACCGGCUAACUCUGUGCCAGCAGCCGCGGUAAUACAGAGGGUGCAAGCGUUAAUCGGAAUUACUGGGCGUAAAGCGCGCGUAGGUGGUUUGUUAAGUUGAAUGUGAAAUCCCCGGGCUCAACCUGGGAACUGCAUCCAAAACUGGCAAGCUAGAGUAUGGUAGAGGGUAGUGGAAUUUCCUGUGUAGCGGUGAAAUGCGUAGAUAUAGGAAGGAACACCAGUGGCGAAGGCGACUACCUGG